This 905-nucleotide long non-coding RNA is filed under the name Solanum tuberosum (potato). Its description in RNAcentral is "long non-coding RNA (STUB_LNC004423)". Lineage: Eukaryota; Viridiplantae; Streptophyta; Magnoliopsida; Solanales; Solanaceae. The record is from RNAcentral.
CUUCAAUUCCUCCAUCUCUCAGUUUCUUUACUGCUUCAUCUACAUUUUCCUGUAAAAUGAAAUAGACACUACCUAAAGUCAAAUCUUCAAUAUGAAGAGACUAAACAAUACACAAAUACAGAAAAGUCCAAGAAAAACAGUGACACUGUUUCUAUUUCUUUGACACAAUUACUUGUAACUAUAAAAAGUUUUGAUCUGCUGAAAUUCAAGUCGGUGUAAUACUUUUUUGAGUUUAACCGUGAGGGCUUGGCUUAAAACGGACAAUAUAACACCAUAUUAAGAGUAUCUUUGAGCUGAUUUAGCCCAACAACUCUCCAUUCACAGGGAUCAUGUGUAUGUGUGUGAAAUUUCUAAAAAAGUUCAAGCUCUUCAGUUCAUCAAACCUAUUUGUUACCAUAAACAAUUAGAUGAAAGAGAAGACAUGAACUUAACAAAAUCUGCAAAUACCCAUUUGAAGAAUCACCCAAAUUUUGGCAAGAAACAAACCCUUUUAGCAUAUACCCUUGUACCUACCUUUAAUAACAGUACAUUAAGUUAGUUAUAACUAACUCUUCUUGAUAGACUAACUUGCCCUUUCUGUAACUAACUAACUAUUAACACUAAUGACACCUACUUUACAUCACAACAAGAAGCGCCUUCAAAUCCAAGUCUCUGAGCUAUGCCAAAUCCAAUACCUUGUGUAGAAGCUGUUACAAUCACCACUUUCCCUUCAAAUCUUUUCCCAAUUUUCUCCAUUUUUAUAUGAGUUCUGUGAUUAGAGAGAGAAAUAUGAGAUUUAGUUCUUCUUCUUCUUGGAUAGACGAUGACGACGUUGUGAAUUUAAUAAUCAAAUCAUUAAAAUCAUCGAUGUCAACCAUAAUUAGGCGGAAAAAUAUGUCAUGGCAUAGCUCAAAGGGUCUUUAAAG